Molecule: long non-coding RNA, 277 nt
Organism: Bos taurus (domestic cattle)
Lineage: Eukaryota; Metazoa; Chordata; Mammalia; Artiodactyla; Bovidae
Source: Ensembl
GGCCCCGCCUCUUGCGCCGAGAAGGAGCUGCAAAACUGCGGCCGGGUGUUCCCACCCACGUGUACUCCUCGGAUCCUCUUAACUUCCUGUGGCCGUCCUCAACUGCCACCCCAGCUUCCAGGUGGAGGGAUGAGUGCACGUCCUUCUACUCGACUAUCUUGAACCAGAAGCCAGAAGCGCAGUCUUAACCACUGGACCACCAGAGAAGUCCUAAUACCCCCACCCCAUGUUUUUAAAUUGAUGCUUCAUGUGUGAAGAAUAAUAACAAAAGUUACUU